Small nucleolar RNA from Fukomys damarensis (Damara mole-rat), 184 nucleotides. The record is from Ensembl. NCBI's taxonomy places the organism in Eukaryota, Metazoa, Chordata, Mammalia, Rodentia, Bathyergidae.
GCUAUAAUGUGUGCAUAGUUUCCAUCUGUGUCUGGUAGUAGUAUCUGUCUGUGUUUUGCAUUCAGAUUGUGCUAUCCACACAAAUGUCACACAGCCAGAGAGUAACUUGGGAUCAUAGUACUGGUCUAGUGUUGUCCUUUUGGAUACAUCUACCACUGGCCAGCCUCCAAAUUCCCAAACAGAA